GUAGUACUAUUUGCUUCUAAUGCCCGCAGCAAUCCCUACCUUGCAGGUACCCUAGUUAAUAAUUCAUAAAUCUUGUGGCAAAUCAUGUCAGCCAUAAUACGUCACGUGGAGUGACUUUAUAUAUGAUAAAAGUCAUAAAACUCAUCUUCAUUAGUAUUCUUUAUAUAAUUUAGCCCGCGUGCAGGCCCAAGGGAAGAAUAGUGGGCCUGCAAGCAAGGCCCGGUAUUUUGUACUUUCCGCGUUCGCCCACGAACGCGGCAUUCUGAUUGGCUGUUUGCUAUUGGAUUCUAUAAUUAGAUCAGUGAUUCAUCACAAAGGCUCUCGAUAAGCUUAAAAUUCGAAAAUUGAUCACUUUUCUGAUUAAAAAUGGAACAAGAACAGACUGUUUAUUGUUUACUUGAAGGAAGAGAUGUUUUUGCCGUUAUAUGCCAAUGGGGAUUGCUUGUCGUGAAGUAUUGGAAUAGCAACAUUACGACUAGGGUAAACUAUAGUAACCUUUACUUGAGUUUCAUUAACAGACUUGAUACGUUAUAUGUUCCUCAAGAAAAUUAUCUUUUGGUUGAUGUUGACUCUGCUCUUGCACUGAAGAAAACAGCGCUUUUCGCGGUGAAGUUUUUGAGGCAGUUGCAUGUAUUAAGCUUAUUCGAAACACUUUGCGAUUUGCAAAGCUUCGCUGAGAGAGCCGCGAAACAGAAGACGGUAAUUGCCGUUUGAAACGAAACGAUCUGGACUCUCAACGCUCUCUUCUCCUGUAGAGUUUUUUUUUACCAAAUGAAAUAACUGAAAUAAAUUUCGUAUACUUUCCGCCGCCAACAAGAAUUGCACACACGAUCUGAUAAGUGAGACAAUUUAUUUAUAACAAUGGCGACAGCGAAGCACACAUUAAUGCUAAUGUGGUCGCACGAAUUCCCUCACGAUUUGAAGUUUGAGACUAGUUUUCUGUUGAAAUUCGUCCUAAUUUGCCUGUUCGGAUUUUAGUUGAAAAUGAGCACUUGCAAAUUUGGCAAUUACUGACUGCGUUGCUUGCUUUUGUGAAGUUAAAACACAGCCAUUUACACAUUGUUUCUACUUCGAUUAAAGCAGAGAAAACCCCGCAACAUUUUAAUGCGAGUUUGUUUGUUAUACUAUUUGGGUUGCUGUCAUUGGUUCUUUUUUGACAAUUGAAGCGCGAAUGGGGCGUGUUAUGAAAAGAGUCGUUUUA
Paramuricea clavata is the source of this 1201-nucleotide non-coding RNA. The record is from the annotation of a GenBank genome assembly. Lineage: Eukaryota; Metazoa; Cnidaria; Anthozoa; Malacalcyonacea; Plexauridae.